Molecule: ribosomal RNA, 253 nt
Filed under: uncultured bacterium
Lineage: Bacteria
Description: partial 16S ribosomal RNA
Rfam family: Bacterial small subunit ribosomal RNA
Source: RNAcentral
UACGUAGGGUGCGAGCGUUAAUCGGAAUUACUGGGCGUAAAGCGUGCGCAGGCGGUUUUGUAAGUCAGAUGUGAAAUCCCCGGGCUUAACCUGGGAACUGCGUUUGAAACUACAAGGCUAGAGUGUAGCAGAGGGGGGUGGAAUUCCACGUGUAGCAGUGAAAUGCGUUGAGAUGUGGAGGAACACCGAUGGCGAAGGCAGCCCCCUGGGUUAACACUGACGCUCAGGCACGAAAGCGUGGGGAGCAAACAGG